AAGUUCUCAGCAACACCACGUCAACUUAACAAUGGAAAUGUCGAUGGAUCUAAAACAAUGAGGGGAAACUAUAAAAAGGAGGACUAUGGAAUGUAGAAUUUUAAAUCAUCUUUUCCUGACAUAUUAUAGCCUCGGCCCGUUUGGUAGCGGUCCGCACAGAGACAAACGCGCCUGCGAGCUGUGAGCAAAUCGGCGGACGUGGAGGGAAACGUGCGCGACUCUCGCCAGUCGGAGUCGCCCUUUCUGACGUUGGCUUGCAAGUGAACUCAAGUGAGCAGAUUUGGCCGAGAAAUGAAAGAAGAAGCCGGUAAAGUAAACAGAAAGAGAUACAGUAGUAUCCGUGUCUUUCGAAGAUGAAGCAAUUUGGACAAGAGAAAUUACUCCCAAGCGACGUGGACGAAGAAGCUGUGGUGCAUGCUAAGUCGUCAAAAAAAACAGUCGAUACAAGAAAGCCGUUGAAGCAUUUGAACAAGUAGCACCGUGCUUUGCAGAUGUCAAGAUCCAGCCGCCGAUUCUCCAGAAUUCGCCGCUCUUUCUGCGGGAGGCGUGUGCCAUGCGGCAAGAAAACGUGUUGGGCUUACAAAGGCAAGUGAAUGUUGCUGACAGUGGCACUCACCGAUAUAGUCCUCCAGUCUCCCUCCAGGAAGUUACGCAAAGGGGCGAGGAAGGUCGUGGCAGAGGUUUGAAGGAACUCUCGCUCGGCAGUUCCCAGCCUUUUCUGGUAUUCGCCGACUGUAAUCAGGGUGCUACCUAGAGUUGGCAGCAAGCGCAAACAAACUCAAAUUAUGUUCAGAUGGUGUAUAACGAUCAAUCGGUUGUCGAGUGGAUUGCCCAAAUCAUGAUGUUUAAUCACCACCGCACACUGAAUAUUAUUAAUUUGGCAACGUCAAUGGCAGCAUCCUACAAAGUCUCAUCGUGUUCAACUGACCGUACGGUGUCCCGGAGCCAAAUUCAUUGGCGGCGUCCAGCAUGUAUUGGCCGAGCAAUUCUGCAUUUGUUGUCCUGGAAGGAAGCUUUUUCUCCAGUUUGUCAUAGAUGAACUCCUCUAUUCGAGCACCUACGUAGACCAUGAAAGAGGACAGACUUUUAAUUGAAAUGUCCGAUAAGUGUGUUUAAUUCUUAGGUUUCUCUGAAGUCAAAUUAAAAUGUCAAAGAAACUAUGUUCACCACAAGGUCGUCGCAGAAUAUACCUGGUGAAAUAUUGUCAACGGCAGAAAUGGGACACUUAAAUGUUUUUCGUCAAUGCUCACAUCUUCUUUCUUUCUUCAAUAUACGAAUAUGACUUGCAUUGGAAAAUAAAGUCCGAACUCACCAGUGUGGUCAACUGAAGCGUGAAGGGUUAAAAAAAAAAAACAUAGUUAAUAACACACAUCUCGACCACUACACUAUUUCUACCAAUCUCCUUUCCGCCAUCCACUUGGAGAAACAUGCGCUGCCUCGUUUUAAAAGAGUGUGGAUACUCGACUGGCCUGCUUGCAGUCCAGGCCAUGUCUCCCAUUGAAAAUGAUGAAGUGCAAAAUAUGACAAUGGAGAGCCGUGGCAGUUGAGCAACUAAAAUUGUACAUCAGGCAAGAAUGGCAAUGCAUUUUACCUACAAAGCUUCUACAAUUGGUGUUCUCACUUCCCAAAUCCUUCUGGGAUGAAGUGUUGUUAAAAUAUAGCUUUUUAAGGACCCCUGCUGCACAGUGAGAAGUAUUGCAGUUUGUAUUUGAGAUUGAAAUAAUGUAAACUUCACUCCAAAUUCUGUGUAUUUGAUAAGCUAAGAAAACCUUGAUUCGUCUCGCAAUGGAGACAUUCCCAAUUCACAGCAGCAAAGUUAUGAAAGAAUAAACUAAUCAUAAUACUCUAUACUGCAAAUAAUCUGAAUGACUCAACUGGACAGAAUUUAUCAUUUGACAAAAUUAGUGAAAUGAUAAAUACUUGUUCUUUUCCUAUAUCCUCCAUUAUGAAAGGGUGGAACCAACAUUUUUACGUGUUUCUCUACUUCAAUAAUUAAUGUGGCACCGCCUCUUUAAAGUAGAACUCCCGCCUUUGACUCAUUCCUUUUUCUCUGGAUGUUCAGGGCAAGGUAAGCAUUUUUAGAGCUGGAAUAAAAAAAACGUUUUUAUUUCCAAGUUUAAGUAUUUUAAUACACUGUUGUGUCAUAAUUUGUGUAGGGACACGCUGAAUCACUCUAAUUAAGGGGAAGACAUUGUUUUCUGCUCUUUUCGUCAUGCUUUGUGAUUGAGACGAUUAAACUAUGUUUGGGCUACUGAA
Molecule: long non-coding RNA, 2256 nt
Organism: Hippocampus zosterae (dwarf seahorse)
Lineage: Eukaryota; Metazoa; Chordata; Actinopteri; Syngnathiformes; Syngnathidae
Exons: 2
Source: RefSeq, a predicted model, not a curated record